This 100-nucleotide microRNA precursor is filed under the name Macaca nemestrina (pig-tailed macaque). RNAcentral describes it as "miRNA (ENSMNEG00000001909.1)". The record is from RNAcentral. Lineage: Eukaryota; Metazoa; Chordata; Mammalia; Primates; Cercopithecidae.
GAGGCGGGAGGAUUGCUUCAGCCUAGGCAGUUGAGGCUGCAGUGAGCCAUGAUCAUACCACUGUACUCCAGCCUGAGUGACAGAGCAAGACCCUGUCUCA